This 447-nucleotide ribosomal RNA is filed under the name uncultured bacterium. Its description in RNAcentral is "bacterial SSU rRNA". It matches the Rfam family "Bacterial small subunit ribosomal RNA", at positions 355 to 794 of the family's 1533-position model. The record is from RNAcentral.
UUAGGAAUAUUCGUCAAUGGGGGAAACCCUGAACGAGCAAUGCCGCGUGAGUGAUGACGGUCCUUUGGAUUGUAAAACUCUGUUGUUAGGGAAGAACGACCUGUAUAGGAAAUGAUACAGGAGUGACGGUACCUUUCAAGAAAGCUCCGGCUAACUACGUGCCAGCAGCCGCGGUAAUACGUAGGGAGCGAGCGUUAUCCGGAUUUAUUGGGUGUAAAGCGUGUGUAGGCGGUUUAUUAAGUCUGAGGUUUAAUCCCGGAGCUUAACUCCGGUUCGCCUCAGAAACUGAUUUACUUGAGUAUGGUAGAGGCAAGUGGAAUUUCUAGUGUAGCGGUAAAAUGCGUAGAUAUUAGAAGGAACACCAGUGGCGAAGGCGACUUGCUGGGCCAUCACUGACGCUGAGACACGAAAGCGUGGGGAGCAAAUAGGAUUAGAUACCCUGGUAGU